Molecule: long non-coding RNA, 7861 nt
Organism: Dunckerocampus dactyliophorus (ringed pipefish)
Lineage: Eukaryota; Metazoa; Chordata; Actinopteri; Syngnathiformes; Syngnathidae
Exons: 5
Source: RefSeq, a predicted model, not a curated record
GUAUAAACACACUCAAUAUCUGCUGAUACACACUUUAUUUGCUUGGUAUAUGAUGCCCCAAAGUGAGCUUUUAGCCUUCAGUUGACGUUUUGGGCACUGAACAGCUGGUAGUCAACAGGAAUGGUAUCUGCGGGGUUGGGAAAGAGUAUAAACAUGAUGAAAUCCUUGUACUUCCUGCGGGACUAUUUGUACUGAUACUCGCCAUUGCAUCUGUACUUCAGAUUGGACCAGAUGAUGUUUUCCUGUGAGAAGCAGAAGACACCCAGCCUGCCUCCUCUCAUGCUGGUGUCAAUGAUUACGCCUGUGUCCGCCACCAGGUCUGAACCCUCGAAGAAGCGAGCCCUGUUACCAGGGCAGAACAUAAUUAGUUUGUGAUGAUGUGAAAGUGUGUGCGUGUGUGUGCUUCAAUACCUGAUAUAUCCAACCUGAGGUCUAUGCUGGAGAAACCAGCGGUAGGACACCUUGUCCUUCCAGCCCACAUUCCUGGGAUCUUUCCAAAGGAGGCGGACUUGCUCCGGUGUGUCUCCGGUGUGCCACAGGGAGUUCCUCAGAUACUCACCAGGUCCUGUUUUGGACUUCACUGCCUGGGGGAGGUUUACACAGAAUAAGAGCAAAUAGGCGACUAGACGAAGACAGCAAGCACCUACGUACCUUAAGCUGUAUUCCUGGCUCGGCCACAGCUCGGAAUGGUGCGGCCUGCCAGUAGGUCUGCUCCGUCUGUUUCCACAUGACCACGUAGAAUGAAGACGAGUCUUGGUAACCAAAGAUAAAGCCAGCAUAGUCGUCGUCCGUCACAGUGUUGACGUGGAACGUUCCCUCAAAGUCUACGCCACUGAAGGCUGUGUAGCCUGCAGAGGACAUUGGUUUGUCAGUGUGGCAUUUAUUUUCUCACGUGAUCACUAAAAAUCUGUUCAUUUUGCCUUGAAACAUAACUGAAGUUAUCUUUAUUUUUCUCAAGCUGCAUGUUCCAGGGGAGGGGCAAUCAUGAGAUGUUACACUCACCGACAGCUAGACCAGGGUCAGAGUUCAUGGUUUGGACUAUCUCCAUCCCCUGUGUGGACCAAACAUAGUCACCUCAUGUUAUCCUUACAUUUAAAAAUCCCUCCCAAGGACUGUGCUAAAGGGCCAAAGAAAGACAAGAUACCAUGCAUGUGUGACAUCUAGUGGCUGGGAGCAGAAUAGAGGAUGGCUAUGAGAACAGCACUGGGGGGUUUUCUUCUUGAUGUUCCAUAUAAUGACGAGUUCCACAUUUUGGAGCCAAUUUGAAAGCGCUUGACCACAGAAACGUUUAAAAGUUCACCCUAUAGAACGGCUAUUCAAAUGGCGGCCUACGAACCAAAUCUGCGAAUGACAUCAGACCAGCACGCCAGUUCGGUUAAAAACUUGGGCGUGGCUAACAUUGUAGCAGCAGAUUCCUAAAACCAUCACAGUGCUGUCAGAAAGAGGAUUGUUUUUUGUUAUGUUCUUAACACGUGCUCCUGUUACGGGGAAUCUUUAACCAGCUUUGUUUUUUCUUUUUAAAUAGAUCCUUAAGACGGCACUGCUCCUGUUAUAUAGGUCAGUGGUUAUAUAGGUCACCCCGUACCGGGCCGUGGGUCAUUUGGUACCGGGCCGCACAGAAAGAAAAAAUAAUUUCCAUUAUUUCAUGUUUUGUUUUAUUUUGAAAAGUGGCCGGAUUCUCUCUGUUACAUCCGUCUCACUUGACGCAUGUCCAUUGUGCGUGUGCUAACUUUCUCUCAUAUGCCGCACAGAUAGACUACUACUGUAUUUUUACCAUUUUUCUUUCACCUCAUAUUUGUUGUCAAAUGCUGAUACUAUGUGGGAAUGCAUAAAGGCGUCGCCCGUCCCGUCCCUGUCGGCGUCCUCCUGGCCAGAAUUUGGAACGAAGACACAGUUGUCCUGGGAACAACAAGGGAAUACACACUCAAUAAUGAAUCCCGCAGCUCAGAAAGUGGAUUAGUAAGAUUGCAGAAAGAAAAAACAAAAACGCUGGCUUUUCCUCUGUGGAAGGACGACAGUUACAAGCACCUUCCAGCUCACGCAUGCCUGACCCCUCCGGGAUGCAUCGGUGCUCUGAUGCUACCAUCCCUCUGUACAACACACUCGGCAUUGGCGUCACACGGGUUGGGCUGGCCGUUGGGACACAGCCUCGUUCCCUGGCAGCCGCUCACCUGGUCACCCGUGAAGCCAUUUUUACAGUCUCCACAGCGGAAGGAGCCCUGGAGAGUGGAGCACAUGGCCAUCAGGUCAUGUGGUGAGUACGCAGCCUUUCCGGUCUAUUUUUCAGUCUUACUAUAGUGUUGUAGCAGUGGGAGUCGGCGGUGCAGCCUCCAAUCUCAGGCGGGUUCAAGCACUCAUCUAUAUCUUCACACACCUUCAAGAACAACAGUUGUCAUGUCAUUUGUGCAACAUUUUCAUUGUUUAUAUCCAGACGAAUAGCACUACAAUGAUGUGAAUACCUGCUUGCUUGACUGGGCACUGGAUAUUCCCACACCAUUUAUCUCUGGUCCCCUGUAUCCCAGAGGACAUUUGCCACAUCGGUACCCAGGUGCAGUGUUCUCACAUCUCACACCAGAAAAACAUGGAUUGAGCUGGCACUGAAUCACAACAUAACAUGCACGCCAUCCCCUGUGUAGCCAUCAGGACAGGGAGCACACUGGUAGCCCCCUGACGAAGAGGGAAUGCACAUGUCCUGUCGGAAACAAGUCCCAGGCGGGCAGGAAGGAGACCCGUGUUGGCCCACAGGUGGACCUGUGUUGGUUGGAUUUCCACUGAGACCUACAUACAACAUGCAGUUGGGGUGCUUGACGGAGUUAAAGUCAAAUUCAAAAAUUAAAGUAAAAUUCCUCCACAUCAAACUCAUCCAAGCACUUUGCGCACGCAAACUGUCUUCAGGCUAAGCAAUGUCGGCUCAAACCCGUGUGCUCUGUGGCCAAUUGCAUUAAGGUUAGUGAUUAUGUGCUGCUUACCGCAUGCAAGACACUCUGCGAUGGUGUUCCUCAGAAAGUUGGUCUCUUUAAUCUAGAACAGAAAAAUACAUCAUACUCAGUUUAGAAUGAGUCACCAUCGUUUUUGAAAUGAUGUAUAAAAUUUUAUGGACAGUCAAACCUCGGUUUUUGCACGCCCGAUUUUUGUAUGAUUCGAGUUCCACAGAAAAUUUUGGCUAAAAUGUUGCCUUGGUUUUUGUACACUUUCUCGGGUUUCAUACAGUAUUGCACGCAACAAACAGUUUUUCGAUUCUAUUCUCAAUAAAAAUGUAUUUUUUGUUAUUAUUUGUGGGUAUCAGGAACGGAUUAAUUGGAUUUACAUGAUUGCCGAUGGGAAAAAUUGCCUCAGCUUUUGUACCUUUCGGUUUUCGUCAAACCUUUUGGAACAAAUUAAUAAUGAAAACCAAUGUAGCACUGAGGUACCACUGUACUGGAUAUUAAGGGAAUAUGCCUCUGCAGUAGUUCCCUUUCAUUGAGCUAUCUGAGGCUGAGAUGUUGCCUCACAGUCUGAAGUAUUUCCUAAUAAAUAUUUUUUUUCCCAUAAAAGUACUACCCAUUUCAACUUUUUUAACGUUUGUUUCUGAGGUUUCGCAAUGCCUUGAAAACAAGAUAAUUCCAGAAACUCAGCAGGUCGGUUUUAAUGACAAGCAGUUGAUUUUAUUGCAUAAGCUUUCUCAGAACACAUAAUUGCAAUUGCAAGGUCACAUUCCUCACCUUUAACAGUAACAACACACUUUUAUUCUAUACGUGUUUACACAUUUCUAUACCUACCCGUUGUGUGUAAUUGUCAAUCUGUGUGUGUUUCAUACAAGAUAUUCCAGGCCAGGCAUACACAACAAGUUACCUGCUCACUGAGCAGCUCCUUCAUCUCAGCCAGCAUGGUCCUCAAUUCCUCCAUGGUGAUCUGCUCUUGAACGCCCCGGCUUGCCUGGAAACCUGAGAACAUGACAUAAAGAAGGCCAUGACACCAUUUAUUUUUGGUCUGACUGUUGAACUGCUACCAUGCUAUAUAACAAUACAUACUGUACUUAUAUAUGCUGCUCACUACUGUUCAACGGGCAAGACAAAAGGCAAUUCAAUUCAAUUUUAUUUAUAUAGCACCAAAUCACAACAAAAGGAAUCUCCAGGCACUUUACACAUGAGGUAGGUCUAGGAUCACACUCCUCAGAAAUGAAUGGAGAAACCGACCAAACCCCACAUGAGCAAGCACUAGGCGACGGAGGCAAGGAAGAAUUCCCCCUGGGGAAGAAACCUUGAACAGAAAGCAGGUUUUGUGGGGUGGCCAUCUGUCUCGACCGGUUAGGUUAGGAUAGAAAAAAUAGAGUUGUACACGGAGAGAUGAUACUAUAGACCAAGUGAGAAAACAGUCCAAGGAACAGGGAGGCGUAUCAGGAGAAAGGGGUCAGUCUAACUACAGUAUAUGCUUUAGCAAAAAGGGGAGUUUUAAGAUUACUUUUAAAUAGAGAGAGGGUGUCUGCCUUCGGGAUUGAGUAAGGGAGAUGGCUCCAUAACAGAGGAGCCCGAUAACUAAACGCGCUGCCUGCCACUCUACCGCUAAAAAUUCUAGGAUUCGCAGGUAAGCAUAAAGUCUGGGAGCGCAGUGUUCUACUGGGUUGAUAGGGCACUAGAAGCUCUCUAAGAUACGUACAUUGGUGCCUGACCGUGCAGUGCUUUAUAUGUAAGAAAGAGAAUUUUGAAGCCACUUUUAAAUUUUACAGGUAACCAGUGCAGUGAGGCGAGUACGGGUGAAAUAUGAUAUCUUCUUCUAGUUCUGGUUAAGGCUCUUGCAGUGGUGUUUUGGACCAACUUGGGGGGUCUUUUAAGGUUUGUUAGGAUAAUCCAUUAACAGGGAUUCAAACAAAUCCAGCCUGGGGGUCACAAAAGCAUGAACAAGCUUUUCAGCAUCUGGUAGUGGCAGGAAAUUUCAGUUUCGUUUCGUAGAUGAAAAAAUGCUGUUCUUGACACUUGUCGUAUUUGGGAACCAAUGCAAAGGUCUUGAUCAAAGAUGACACCAAGUUUCCUGACUGUGCUCCCGGGUGGUGAUUGCAAGACCAUUUAGGGCGGUCAUCUCAUUUGCAACCUUGUCUCUGAGGUGGGUGGGAACCAAGGACUAUGAUUUCAGUUUUAUCUGAAUUUAAUAGUAAGAAAUUUGAAGUCAUCCAGCUGUUGAUGUCUUUAAGGCAUACCUGGAGUUUGGGCAGCUGAUUUGUUUUUUUCGGUUUCAUUGAUAAAUAGAGUGACAUAUUUGAUAAACAGAAUCACACAUUUGCUUAGUAAUUUGAUUACUGGUCUUUACAAUACAAAUAUAUUACAGUCGUACGCUCAUUGGGGCCUUUUAUUGUUUAUGACUACUCUUUUUUAUUACCCACUCUCCAUCGAGAUACAGGGUUCAUUUAAACCUAAAUUUUAAACUUAUGUCAAUGAUUUAAGCUCUUACAAUUUUCUUACAUUUCUGUGUAGUAUUGCAAAAUCCAUUUGGUUUAAACGUGCCAUAUUAUACAACAAAAGUGAAUCCUCCUACCUCCACCUAGGGUUUUUUUGUUGUAAAAACUCUGCUUCAAAAGUAACCGUUUGAGCACUUCUUCUCUGAAAAGUGGAGCAAACAAAAUGAGGGGGAUGAUAGAUUUUUCUCCUGUUUGGUGGUCAUAAACAGGCUCCACCAAUACAUAUUUCUGUUAGAAACACAUUCAAAAGUCAACUCAGCAUAAUAAGGGACAUGUAAAGUAAAACAACAUUUUAUUUAAAAUGUUAGUAUUUUUCAUUUUUCCACUUACUCAGAAGCUGCAGAGCAUCAGUCUGAUCCGAGCUGCAGUCCUGCAGUGUUGCCACAUUGUCUAUGGUGUCGUCUAUCACCAGCUUCAUGUCAGUCAAUUCACCCUUUUCCACAAAGACAAAUAGAGUAAAAGUAGUUAAUUGUUGCUACGCAACAAUGCCCUUUCAUGGAACCCCACCUGCCCAUUUGACUUCAGCGUUCUCAGUGCCACCGAGUUGGGACCAGGUGGGAGGGAUCCGAAGGCAGCUGGCAGGUCAUCCAGAGUGUGCGCCAGCCUGCAGUCCACAUAGAUGUUGAGGCGAGGUGGGCCACGAUUCAGGCCACUUGCAUGUAGCAUCACGUGGUGGUUCCUGCCAUCAGCCAGGGAGGCGUGGUUAAAAGUGGUUGUGCCAAAUCUACCGUCAGCCUUCUGGUAUCUCAGAGUGACUAGACAUGGAAAGAUGAGGUGUUGAAAGAGAGCAAACACACUAACAGUGUUUCAAGUAAUGCAACUCACUCUUGUUCAGCUUGGCCUGCACAUUGAAUUCCAAGUACUUGCUGUUUUCUUUGGGAUUAAUGACGCUGUACAGGGACGUGGGGACCUUCUGAUGAAGUCUGAAGGAGGACAGCAGGAAAGCCUCGUCUCGCCCUUUAUUCUUUAAACUCCCUUGGAGCAAGUCUGGCAGGCAGUCCGGCGACACCAGAAGGUCGUAAACUAGCACAGGUGAAAACCGACAUAAGUGGCAGCUCUACGGGCAGACAAUCUGUUAUGCAAUGCUGGUUUAUCUGAGAUUUGUUUGGAUUUUGAACCAAAUUCUCCCAUGGGAAAUAAUAAAACAUGCAUGUUAGGUUCAUCGUCACCGUCAACUUUAUUUCAGACACAUACAUGAUCCAUAGAACAUUAAAAACAAACAGACAUCAGCAACAAGACAGUAUAAGAUGGCUACCGCUUGCUAUGUAAGUGUCUGUGUUUCCACAAACUCGAAAAGAACCUGACCGAGCUUUGUACAGGGUUGGUCAGAGUGAGUGUAUGUGAUGCUGUUUACAGAGGAUGUUAGCCUACACAUACAUCUGUACAUGAGGCUCCAUAGACACAGCAGCACAGGUUGUUGCAGCAGCCUGAACAAAGAUUUGACUGGCACUAGUCCAGCGGGGCACCUUAAGCAGCAUCCUCAUGCCAUCAUUGUAUGCCACCUGAAGUUUAUGCAUACUGCUUGUUCUAUAAUGCCGUCACAAGUGGGCAGUAUACAUAGGGGAACAAUACAUGUACGCUUUAAAAAGUGCUAUUUUAACAGAUACUGGGCACAUACAGAACUUACAAACAGGCAGUUCGCUUGUGCAUAUUGCAUACAGCACUGCCUGUAAAUGUCUCUAUUGUCUGACAGGUCAGUGCAUGUGUAGUGAUGUUGUCUGCCAGACAGAAGUCAGGAAAACCUGUAAUGACCUCUUUAUUACCUCUGAAUUGUAUUUAAUAUCAAAGUCCAAGCCAUACUGUAAGCAAGCCCUUAACAACUGCUGUAGACCAGCACUGUAUGGACAGAAAAUUACGAGAUCCCCCUUCUUGCUUUUGCAUAUUGUAGCUCUACUUAAAACCUGGUUCAAUUUAUCACAGCAAGUCUUCCAGGUCCUGAAGCAGCAAAACAGCCCCAGACCAUCACACUACCACCACCAUAUUUUACUGUUGGUAUGACAUUCUUUUUCUGAAAUGCGGCAUUUUCCCAGAUGUAAUGGGACACACACCUUCCAAAAAGUUCAACUUUUGUCUCAUCCAACCAAAGAGUAUUUUCUUUAAGGUAUUGGGGAUCAUCAAGAUGUUUUCUGGUAAAAUUGAGACAAGCCUUAAUGUUCUUUUUGUUCUGCAGUGGUUUUCAUCUUGGAACUCUGCCAUGCAAGCCGUUUUUGCCCAGUGUCUUUCUUAUGGUGGAGUCAUCAACACUGACCUUAACUGAGGCAAGUGAGGCCUGCAGUUCUUUGGAUGUUGUUGUGGGGUCUUUUGUGACCUCUUGAAUGAGUCGUCGCUACACUCUUGGGGUCAUUUUGGUUGGCCAGCCACUCCUGGGAAGGUUCACCACUGUUCCAUGUUUUCAUCGUUACUUUAUUUCUUUCUGGGGGGGGAGUCAAC